Molecule: ribosomal RNA, 440 nt
Filed under: uncultured bacterium
Lineage: Bacteria
Description: bacterial SSU rRNA
Rfam family: Bacterial small subunit ribosomal RNA
Source: RNAcentral
UACGGAAGGCAGCAGUGGGGAAUAUUGCACAAUGGGCGCAAGCCUGAUGCAGCCAUGCCGCGUGUAUGAAGAAGGCCUUCGGGUUGUAAAGUACUUUCAGUCGUGAGGAAGGUGUUAAGGUUAAUAACCUUAGCAAUUGACGUUAGCGACAGAAGAAGCACCGGCUAACUCCGUGCCAGCAGCCGCGGUAAUACGGAGGGUGCGAGCGUUAAUCGGAAUUACUGGGCGUAAAGGGCACGCAGGCGGUUAAUUAAGUUGGAUGUGAAAUCCCCGGGCUUAACCUGGGAAUGGCAUUCAAGACUGGUUAGCUAGAGUCUUGUAGAGGGGGUUAGAAUUCCAUGUGUAGCGGUGAAAUGCGUAGAGAUGCGGAGGAAUACCGGUGGCGAAGGCGGCCCCUGGACAAAGACUGACGCUCAUGUGCGAAAGCGUGGGGAGCAAAC